RNAcentral lists this non-coding RNA (29 nucleotides) under Mus musculus (house mouse). The record is from RNAcentral. Lineage: Eukaryota; Metazoa; Chordata; Mammalia; Rodentia; Muridae.
ACUCGAGACUGUGUAGAACCUUCAUAGGC